This 460-nucleotide ribosomal RNA is filed under the name uncultured bacterium. RNAcentral's name for it is "partial 16S ribosomal RNA". It matches the Rfam family "Bacterial small subunit ribosomal RNA", at positions 338 to 795 of the family's 1533-position model. The record is from RNAcentral.
CCUACGGGCGGCAGCAGUGAGGAAUAUUGGUCAAUGGACGAGAGUCUGAACCAGCCACGUAGCGUGAAGGAUGACUGCCCUAUGGGUUGUAAACUUCUUUUAUAUGGGAAUAAAAUGUUCCACGUGUGGGAUUUUGUAUGUACCAUAUGAAUAAGGAUCGGCUAACUCCGUGCCAGCAGCCGCGGUAAUACGGAGAAUCCGAGCGUUAUCCGGAUUUAUUGGGUUUAAAGGGAGCGUAGGUGGAUUGUUAAGUCAGUUGUGAAAGUUUGCGGCUCAACCGUAAAAUUGCAGUUGAAACUGGCAGUCUUGAGUACAGUAGAGGUAGGCGGAAUUCGUGGUGUAGCGGUGAAAUGCGUAGAUAUCACGAAGAACUCCGAUUGCGAAGGCAGUUCACUGGACUGCAACUGACACUGAGGCUCGAAAGUGUGGGUAUCAAACAGGAUUAGAUACCCGAGUAGUC